UACGUAGGGUGCAAGCGUUAAUCGGAAUUACUGGGCGUAAAGCGUGCGCAGGCGGUUGGGCAAGACAGAGGUGAAAUCCCCGGGCUUAACCUGGGAAUGGCCUUUGUGACUGCUUAGCUAGAGUGUGUCAGAGGGGGGUAGAAUUCCACGUGUAGCAGUGAAAUGCGUAGAGAUGUGGAGGAAUACCGAUGGCGAAGGCAGCCCCCUGGGAUAACACUGACGCUCAGGCACGAAAGCGUGGGGAGCAAACAGG
This 253-nucleotide ribosomal RNA is filed under the name uncultured bacterium. RNAcentral describes it as "partial 16S ribosomal RNA". It matches the Rfam family "Bacterial small subunit ribosomal RNA", at positions 524 to 776 of the family's 1533-position model. The record is from RNAcentral.